AGAGUUUGAUCCUGGCUCAGGGUAAACGCUGGCGGCGUGCUUAACACAUGCAAGUCGAACGCCCCUUCGGGGGAGUGGCAAACGGGUGAGUAAUGCAUAAGUAAUCUGCCCUUAAGUUCGGGAUAACCCUUCGAAAGGAGAGCUAAUACCGGAUACUUUCUUUUCUCCGCAUGAAGAAAAGAAGAAAGAUUUAUCACUUAAGGAGGAGCUUAUGUCUGAUUAGCUAGUUGGUAGGGUAAUGGCUUACCAAGGCGAUGAUCAGUAGCUGGUCUGAGAGGAUGGUCAGCCACACUGGGACUGAGAUACGGCCCAGACUCCUACGGGAGGCAGCAGUGGGGAAUAUUGCGCAAUGGGCGAAAGCCUGACGCAGCGACGCCGCGUGAAUGACGAAGUCUUUCGGGAUGUAAAGUUCUGUAGGGAGGGACGAUUAUGACGGUACCUCCAAAGUAAGCCCCGGCUAACUACGUGCCAGCAGCCGCGGUAAUACGUAGGGGGCUAGCGUUACCCGGAUUUAUUGGGCAUAAAGGGCGUGUAGGCGGUAUUUUAAGUCAGGUGUUAAAGUUUCAAGCUCAACUUGAAGGUGCACCUGAUACUGAAAUGCUAGAGGACAAGAGAGGGAAGCGGAACUCACGGUGUAGCGGUGAUAUGCGUAGAUAUCGUGAGGAACACCAGUUGCGAAGGCGGCUUCCUGGCUUGAUCCUGACGCUGAGGCGCGAAAGCGUGGGGAGCAAACGGGAUUAGAUACCCCGGUAGUCCACGCUGUAAACGGUGUUCACUAGGUGUAGGAAGUAUCGACCCUUUCUGUGCCACAGAUAAUUCGUUAAGUGAACCGCCUGGGGAGUACGACCGCAAGGUUAAAACUCAAAGGAAUUGACGGGGGCCCGCACAAGCAGUGGAGCAUGUGGUUUAAUUCGACGAUACGCGAAAAACCUUACCAGGGUUUGACAUCUGCAGAACUCCCUAGAAACAGGGAGGUGCCCGCAAGGGAGCUGCAAGACAGGUGGUGCAUGGCUGUCGUCAGCUCGUGUCGUGAGAUGUUGGGUUAAGUCCCGCAACGAGCGCAACCCUCAUUCUGUGUUGCCAGCACUAACGGUGGGAACUCACAGAAGACCGCCUGUGUAAAGCAGGAGGAAGGUGGGGAUGACGUCAAGUCAUCAUGCCCCUUACGCCCUGGGCUACACACAUGCUACAAUGGCCGGUACAAAGAGCUGCUAAGCCGCAAGGUGGAGCCAAUCUCAAAAAGCCGGUCUCAGUACGGAUUGUAGUCUGCAACUCGACUACAUGAAGCUGGAAUUGCUAGUAAACGCAGAUCAGCAACGCUGCGUUGAAUACGUUCUCGGGCCUUGUACACACCGCCCGUCACACCAUGAGAGUCAAAAACACCCGAAGCCAAUGAUUCAACCCUUUGGGAGAUAAUUGUCGAAGGUGGGUUUGGCGAUUGGGGUGAAGUC
This 1451-nucleotide ribosomal RNA is filed under the name metagenome. Its description in RNAcentral is "bacterial SSU rRNA". It matches the Rfam family "Bacterial small subunit ribosomal RNA". The record is from RNAcentral.